UAUCUUGUUUUAUUUAUUUAUUUGGUACUGGGAAUUGAACUCCGGUCCUUGUGCUUGUGAGGCAGGCAGCAGAACCACUGAGCUAAAUCCCCAGCCCAUGGUGGGGUAAUCUUAGCUGGAGCAGCCAGGAAGGACCUUGUGAGGAAAGCGACAUCCGGAUUACAGUGAAGAUAAUCCUUCCAGUCUCCUCUGUAACCAGCUGCCUCAAACACACACAAGUGAGUUUCAGAGGAACAAGCUGUCGCCUGAGUACAUCCUGUGCAGUAGGUGGCACUUACUUAUACUGAAAUGCAUUCCUUCCUUUCUUGAAAUUCCACUUUCACGGGGUUUCCUGUAUUUGUAUUUGCUGACGCUGCCAACUUUAAACUCACCCUGUGUGCCGAGGACGUCCUUCCUUAUUUAAUCCCCCA
RNAcentral lists this long non-coding RNA (410 nucleotides) under Fukomys damarensis (Damara mole-rat). RNAcentral's name for it is "lncRNA (ENSFDAG00000030729.1)". Lineage: Eukaryota; Metazoa; Chordata; Mammalia; Rodentia; Bathyergidae. The record is from RNAcentral.